UACGUAGGGUGCGAGCGUUGUCCGGAAUUAUUGGGCGUAAAGAGCUCGUAGGCGGUGUGUCGCGUCGGCCGUGAAAACCUGCAGCUUAACUGUGGGCUUGCGGUCGAUACGGGCAUCACUGGAGUUCGGCAGGGGAGACUGGAAUUCCUGGUGUAGCGGUGAAAUGCGCAGAUAUCAGGAGGAACACCGGUGGCGAAGGCGGGUCUCUGGGCCGUAACUGACGCUGAGGAGCGAAAGCGUGGGGAGCAAACAGG
This 254-nucleotide ribosomal RNA is filed under the name uncultured bacterium. RNAcentral describes it as "partial 16S ribosomal RNA". It matches the Rfam family "Bacterial small subunit ribosomal RNA", at positions 524 to 776 of the family's 1533-position model. The record is from RNAcentral.